This is a long non-coding RNA of Neofelis nebulosa (Clouded leopard), 869 nucleotides long. RefSeq lists it as uncharacterized. The record is from RefSeq and is a predicted model, not a curated record. NCBI's taxonomy places the organism in Eukaryota, Metazoa, Chordata, Mammalia, Carnivora, Felidae. The transcript is spliced from 2 exons.
CAGCGGCCGCGUCACGUCCCACGAGCUCAGCUCCGUCGGGGACAGCCUGAGCAGCGCGCGAUGCAGGCGGAAAGAUGCGGGGAGCCCCUUCGUCAGGUGUGCGUAGAGUUUCCGAAACUCCUCGAAUCUGGAGACAUCCGUACCGGAGCGAGCUUUUGAGGGUCCCGGGAAGGCCGGGAGGUGCUCCUGGGCCAAAGACAGGGCACCUCCCGAAGGCAGCCAGCAGAACAUCAACAGCAGCAGCAGCAGCAUUGGUGGUGUGGGUCCAGGCCCAGGCAUGCCUGUGCUAGCUGAGUUCUGAACGGAGACACCGGACGCGGCUGGACUGGCCUUUAUAAUCCCCGGACUUUGUCCGCCCCCGCCUGCCUGGUCCCUUCCGCUCUGGGUGCAGAGUAAACACUCCAGGGACCAUACAUGGCUGAGUCUUGGGCUGCUUUUAAGGGGGAGGCCCUUCUGGGGAGUUCUCCUGGGGAAGUGGGGGACGCCCUCCCCCCAGAAGCCUCUUUGAGCCUCAGUGUCCUCUAUGAAAUGGGGACUUCCUUCCAGCUUGGUGGACUGGUGAAAAGAAUGCUUUUGUCAGAAAAAGACUUAUUUCUAUGUGCUCAAUUCCAUAGCGAGCGCUUAAGAGGAGGCCUUCUCCCUCAUGGGAUUUUCUCUCUCCCUUCCUGGUUAGGGUCAAAGGCUCCAGAUGUUGAAAACCAAAGGAAGCAGAGGAGAAAGAGCCAGGAGGUACAACCUUAGGUAAGUCAUUCCCCUUCAUCCCACUUCUGUUUCUUCAUCCGGAAAACAAGAACUGAGACUUUCACUGGAGAGAAGUUCAAAUGGGGCACAAACGACAGGGCCAGACCCAUAGGAGGUUGUGUGAUUGA